RNAcentral lists this ribosomal RNA (258 nucleotides) under uncultured bacterium. Its description in RNAcentral is "partial 16S ribosomal RNA". It matches the Rfam family "Bacterial small subunit ribosomal RNA", at positions 1234 to 1500 of the family's 1533-position model. The record is from RNAcentral.
CGCACACAGAGGGAGGCGAAGAGGUGACUCGGAGCAGACCCCAAAAAAGGCGCCUCAGUUCGGAUUGCAGCCUGCAACUCGGCUGCAUGAAGCUGGAAUCGCUAGUAAUCGCGGAUCAGAAUGCCGCGGUGAAUACGUUCCCGGGUCUUGUACACACCGCCCGUCAAGCCAUGGGAGCCGGGGGCGCCUGAAGUCCGGGACCGCGAGGACCGGCCUAGGGCGAAACUGGUAACUGGGGCUAAGUCGUAACAAGGUAUC